AGCAGUCGCCACGGUAAUACGGAGGGUGCGAGCGUUAAUCGGAAUUACUGGGCGUAAAGGGUGCGUAGGUGGUUUGAUAAGUUAUCUGUGAAAUCCCUGGGCUUAACCUGGGCAGGUCAGAUAAGACUGUUGGACUCGAGUAUAGGAGAGGGUAGUGGAAUUUCCGGUGUAGCGGUGAAAUGCGUAGAGAUCGGAAGGAACACCAGUGGCGAAGGCGGCUACCUGGCCUGAUACUGACACUGAGGCACGAAAGCGUGGGGAGCAAACAGGAUUAGAUACCCCCGUAGUCCCUGUCUCUUAUAC
Molecule: ribosomal RNA, 303 nt
Filed under: uncultured bacterium
Lineage: Bacteria
Description: partial 16S ribosomal RNA
Rfam family: Bacterial small subunit ribosomal RNA
Source: RNAcentral